Molecule: ribosomal RNA, 301 nt
Filed under: uncultured bacterium
Lineage: Bacteria
Description: partial 16S ribosomal RNA
Rfam family: Bacterial small subunit ribosomal RNA
Source: RNAcentral
CAGCAGCCGCGGUAAUACGUGGGUGGCAAGCGUUGUCCGGAAUUAUUGGGCGUAAAGCGCGCUCAGGUGGUUUAAUAAGUCUGAUGUGAAAGCCCACGGCUCAACCGUGGAGGGUCAUUGGAAACUGUUAAACUCGAGUGCAGGAGAGAAAAGUGGAAUUCCUAGUGUAGCGGUGAAAUGCGUAGAGAUUAGGAGGAGCACCAGUGGCGAAGGCGGCUUUUUGGCCUGUAACUGACACUGAGGCGCGAAAGCGUGGGGAGCAAACAGGAUUAGAUACCCCCGUAGUCCCUGUCUCUUAUAC